RNAcentral lists this ribosomal RNA (233 nucleotides) under uncultured bacterium. RNAcentral describes it as "partial 16S ribosomal RNA". It matches the Rfam family "Bacterial small subunit ribosomal RNA", at positions 118 to 348 of the family's 1533-position model. The record is from RNAcentral.
UGAGGAACAUGACCUUCGGCGGGGGAUAGCCGGCCCAACGGCCGGGUAAUACCGCGUACGACCACAUGGGGACAUCCCUGAGUGGUGAAAGCAGCAAUGCGCCGAUGGAAUGCCUCGCGGCCUAUCAGCUAGUUGGUGAGGUAACGGCUCACCAAGGCAACGACGGGUAGCUGGUCUGAGAGGAUGGCCAGCCACAUUGGGACUGAGACACGGCCCAGACCUCUACCGGGAGG